UUUAAUGCUGACCUGUGUCUCUGAAAAAAGAAACCACUCUGGGAAUCCUUCCUUGAAGAUGUACCUUAAACAUAUGGAUGUGUCUUUUGCUGGACUUUUAGCUAUGACACGUCCAUGCUUUGCUAGCCAAGCCUGAAUUAUUAAAUGAUGAUAUGGGUUAUGUCUACAGAGGACCUAGGACCUCCUUCUGAAAUGCUAAUAAAGCCAGCAGGAAAGAAUUCCUUAGGUUUUUCACCUGGACUUACAUUCUUGAGUUCAGAAAUUCAGGUUGUGGAUACACAUGAAAAAUUGAACCAAGCCAAGAAACCUGCCAAAUGAUGCUGAAAUUCCUGCAACUGGACAGUUCAUCAGGCAGAAGAUAUUAGAAAAACUGGCAGCCAUAAUCGUGUGGGUGGAGACUUGUUCUGCUCACUCGUCCUGGAAGUGCUGGGCACAGCCGAGCUGACAGCCCUGAACAUUGCCCAAUGUGCUGUGACUGGCAUGAGCUGCCGCUUCACUGCUCAUCUUCAUCCUGCAGUCUAUGGCCACCUCACCAUGCACUGUCCCUGGGAACAGCUCGAGAGAAGGAACAGGAGCCAAUUGUGAGCUCAGUUUUAGGGACUGCAAAACCACCCAACAGCAUUAUUCUCGCUGUA
Molecule: long non-coding RNA, 635 nt
Organism: Pezoporus occidentalis (night parrot)
Lineage: Eukaryota; Metazoa; Chordata; Aves; Psittaciformes; Psittacidae
Exons: 4
Source: RefSeq, a predicted model, not a curated record